This 72-nucleotide transfer RNA is filed under the name Camelus bactrianus (Bactrian camel). It matches the Rfam family "tRNA". Rfam says of the family: Transfer RNA (tRNA) molecules are approximately 80 nucleotides in length. Their secondary structure includes four short double-helical elements and three loops (D, anti-codon, and T loops). Further hydrogen bonds mediate the characteristic L-shaped molecular structure. tRNAs have two regions of fundamental functional importance: the anti-codon, which is responsible for specific mRNA codon recognition, and the 3' end, to which the tRNAs corresponding amino acid is attached (by aminoacyl-tRNA synthetases). tRNAs cope with the degeneracy of the genetic code in two manners: having more than one tRNA (with a specific anti-codon) for a particular amino acid; and 'wobble' base-pairing, i.e. permitting non-standard base-pairing at the 3rd anti-codon position. Lineage: Eukaryota; Metazoa; Chordata; Mammalia; Artiodactyla; Camelidae. RNAcentral also lists the same sequence under 2 other names. The record is from Rfam by way of RNAcentral.
GAGGGUAUAGCUCAGUGGUAGAGUGUCUGCUUAGCAUGCACUAGUUCCUGAGUUCAAUCCCCAGUGCCUCCU